UCCGGCGCCCUCCAGUGUUUGUGCGCCUCGCCCUGGGCGCGUGUUCGCGCCUGCGCACUGCCGCCUCGCCGCAGCCGUUUCCUGUCGGUGCCCCGGUCGCCGCUGGCCUUCGUUCCCAGGCUCUGGCCUCCGGCUGGCGAGGGUUCUGGGGCCUGCGGGGCUGGGCGCCGUCCGGCGGGGCCUGCACCCAGCGGGUGCGGGCUGUGCGGGCGAGGGUUCGCGCGGGCCGGGUGGAGGCUCGAGCGGGGACUUCCGAGCUCGAGCCCCGGAGCCCCCGGCCUGGGCAGGAGGGGCUGAGGGGCCAGGCGGGCAGGGGCGGCCGGGCCCGGGCCCGACCGUCUGUAGCGCGCGGGACGGUGAGGUCCCUGGAGGUCGACUUAGGCCUCAGGAAGGGAAGUUCUCCUGAAGGGAGCUUGUCCCCUAGGCCCAGAGUCGGCUCCUCGAGCCCAGCGACCUCGAGAAGCGGAGAGGAGGGACCCCGGGAGAGGCACUCGCCGGAGGAGCCACCCCCGGCCUGGAGCUUCGGGAGCCCCGGGCGGGUCAGCGAGUCCCGACAGGUGGGCCUCCACUUUCACAGCCCUGCAUGUUUUUCCAAGAGCAGCAGAAAAUGAAUCAAUCUCUGG
This 623-nucleotide long non-coding RNA is filed under the name Sus scrofa (pig). RNAcentral's name for it is "lncRNA (ENSSSCG00060058076.1)". Lineage: Eukaryota; Metazoa; Chordata; Mammalia; Artiodactyla; Suidae. The record is from RNAcentral.